RNAcentral lists this small nuclear RNA (148 nucleotides) under Mus pahari (shrew mouse). Its description in RNAcentral is "predicted gene, 24046 (MGP_PahariEiJ_G0033618.1)". It matches the Rfam family "U1 spliceosomal RNA". Rfam says of the family: U1 is a small nuclear RNA (snRNA) component of the spliceosome (involved in pre-mRNA splicing). Its 5' end forms complementary base pairs with the 5' splice junction, thus defining the 5' donor site of an intron. Lineage: Eukaryota; Metazoa; Chordata; Mammalia; Rodentia; Muridae. The record is from RNAcentral.
AUACUUACCUGGCAGGGAGAUGCCAUGAUCAGAAAGGUAGUUUUCCCAGGGUGUGGCUCACCCAUUGCACUUGGGGUGUGCUGACCCCUGUGAAUUCCCUAAAUUCGGGAAACUCAACUGUAUACUUUGUGGUAGUGGGGGACUGUGU